This 630-nucleotide ribosomal RNA is filed under the name Sarcocystis sp. RNAcentral describes it as "SSU rRNA". It matches the Rfam family "Eukaryotic small subunit ribosomal RNA", at positions 451 to 1084 of the family's 1831-position model. Lineage: Eukaryota; Apicomplexa; Conoidasida; Eucoccidiorida; Sarcocystidae. The record is from RNAcentral.
CUGACUCAGGGAGGUAGUGACAAGAAAUAACAACGCUGGAAAUUUGAUUUCUAGUGAUUGGAAUGAUGGGAAUCCAAACCCCUUUCAGAGUAACAAUUGGAGGGCAAGUCUGGUGCCAGCAGCCGCGGUAAUUCCAGCUCCAAUAGCGUAUAUUAAAGUUGUUGCAGUUAAAAAGCUCGUAGUUGGAUUUCUGCUGGAAGCAGCCAGUCCGCCUCUGUAGAGAGGUGUGCACAUGGUGAAUUCUGGCAUUUGUUCCUGGGUGUGUGAGGGUCGAUCGAUGUUUUGCACGCUUUGGACUGUUACUUUGAGAAAAUUAGAGUGUUUCAAGCAGGCUUGUGGCCUUGAAUACUGCAGCAUGGAAUAACAAUAUAGGAUUUCGGUUCUAUUUUGGUUGGUUUCUAGGACUGAAGUAAUGAUUAAUAGGGACAGUUGGGGGCAUUCGUAUUUAACUGUCAGAGGUGAAAUUCUUAGAUUUGUUAAAGACGAACUACUGCGAAAGCAUUUGCCAAAGAUGUUUUCAUUAAUCAAGAACGAAAGUUAGGGGCUCGAAGACGAUCAGAUACCGUCGUAGUCUUAACCAUAAACUAUGCCGACUAGAGAUAGGAAAUUGUCAUGAUUGACUUCUCCUGC